Molecule: ribosomal RNA, 262 nt
Filed under: uncultured archaeon
Lineage: Archaea
Description: partial 16S ribosomal RNA
Rfam family: Archaeal small subunit ribosomal RNA
Source: RNAcentral
CAGCCCUAAACGAUGCGCGUUAGGUGUAUCGGUGACCACGAGUCACCGAGGUGCCGAAGGGAAACCGUGAAACGUGCCGCCUGGGAAGUACGGUCGCAAGGCUGAAACUUAAAGGGAAUUGGCGGGGGAGCACCACAACGGGUGGAGCCUGCGGUUUAAUUGGACUCAACUCCGGGAAGCUCACCGGAUAAGACAGCUGAAUGAUAGUCGGGAUGAAGACUCUACUUGACUAGCUGAGAGGUGGUGCAUGGCGUAGUCGUGU